Molecule: ribosomal RNA, 460 nt
Filed under: uncultured bacterium
Lineage: Bacteria
Description: partial 16S ribosomal RNA
Rfam family: Bacterial small subunit ribosomal RNA
Source: RNAcentral
UCUACGGGGGGCAGCAGUGAGGAAUAUUGGUCAAUGGGCGCGAGCCUGAACCAGCCAAGUAGCGUGAAGGAUGACUGCCCUACGGGUUGUAAACUUCUUUUAUAAAGGAAUAAAGUGAGGCACGUGUGCCUUUUUGUAUGUACUUUAUGAAUAAGGAUCGGCUAACUCCGUGACAGCAGCCGCGGUAAUACGGAGGAUCCGAGCGUUAUCCGGAUUUAUUGGGUUUAAAGGGAGCGUAGAUGGGUUGUUAAGUCAGUUGUGAAAGUUUGCGGCUCAACCGUAAAAUUGCAAUUGAUACUGGCAGUCUUGAGGACAGUUGAGGUAGGCGGAAUUCGUGGUGUAGCGGUGAAAUGCUUAGAUAUCACGAAGAACUCCGAUUGCGAAGGCAGCUUACUAAACUGCCACUGACAUUGAUGCUCGAAAGUGUGGGUAUCAAACAGGAUUAGAUACCCCUGUAGUC